This 879-nucleotide ribosomal RNA is filed under the name uncultured bacterium. RNAcentral's name for it is "bacterial SSU rRNA". It matches the Rfam family "Bacterial small subunit ribosomal RNA", at positions 8 to 916 of the family's 1533-position model. The record is from RNAcentral.
AGAGUUUGAUCAUGGCUCAGGAUGAACGCUGGCGGCGUGCCUAACACAUGCAAGUCGAGCGAUCUUCUUCGGAAGAGAGCGGCGGACGGGUGAGUAACGCGUGGGUAACCUGCCUCAUACACAUGGAUAACAUACCGAAAGGUAUGCUAAUACAAGAUGAUAUAAGAGAUUCGCAUGGAUUUCUUAUCAAAGCUCCGGCGGUAUGAGAUGGACCCGCGUCUGAUUAGCUAGUUGGUAAGGUAACGGCUUACCAAGGCGACGAUCAGUAGCCGACCUGAGAGGGUGAUCGGCCACAUUGGAACUGAGACACGGUCCAAACUCCUACGGGAGGCAGCAGUGGGGAAUAUUGCACAAUGGGCGAAAGCCUGAUGCAGCAACGCCGCGUGAGCGAUGAAGGCCUUCGGGUCGUAAAGCUCUGUCCUCAAGGAAGAUAAUGACGGUACUUGAGGGGGAAGCCCCGGCUAACUACGUGCCAGCAGCCGCGGUAAUACGUAGGGGGCUAGCGUUAUCCGGAUUUACUGGGCGUAAAGGGUGCGUAGGUGGUUUCUUAAGUCAGGAGUGAAAGGCUACGGCUCAACCGUAGUAAGCUCUUGAAACUGGGAAACUUGAGUGCAGGAGAGGAAAGUGGAAUUCCUAGUGUAGCGGUGAAAUGCGUAGAUAUUAGGAGGAACACCAGUAGCGAAGGCGGCUUUCUGGACUGUAACUGACACUGAGGCACGAAAGCGUGGGGAGCAAACAGGAUUAGAUACCCUGGUAGUCCACGCCGUAAACGAUGAGUACUAGGUGUCGGGGGUUACCCCCCUCGGUGCCGCAGCUAACGCAUUAAGUACUCCGCCUGGGGAGUACGCUCGCAAGAGUGAAACUCAAAGGAAUUGACGG